CAGAGCGAGCGAGGGUUCCGGCCCGAGUUCGAUAACCCUUUGAUUUAUCAAGACCUUCUUCUGCCUCGGGGGUGACCCGGCCCUCGGGCUGGUGUCCCCCCGGCGGUACACCAUUCAAACUCUGCAUCAAUUGUCGUCUGAGUAUGAAGUAAAUUCAAUCA
This 161-nucleotide unclassified non-coding RNA is filed under the name uncultured Ascomycota. RNAcentral describes it as "sequence contains ITS1". Lineage: Eukaryota; Fungi; Ascomycota. The record is from RNAcentral.